RNAcentral lists this ribosomal RNA (504 nucleotides) under uncultured bacterium. RNAcentral describes it as "partial 16S ribosomal RNA". It matches the Rfam family "Bacterial small subunit ribosomal RNA", at positions 30 to 523 of the family's 1533-position model. The record is from RNAcentral.
AUUGAACGCUGGCGGCAGGCCUAACACAUGCAAGUCGAGCGGUAGCACAGAGAGCUUGCUCUCGGGUGACGAGCGGCGGACGGGUGAGUAAUGUCUGGGAAACUGCCUGAUGGAGGGGGAUAACUACUGGAAACGGUAGCUAAUACCGCAUAACGUCGCAAGACCAAAGUGGGGGACCUUCGGGCCUCAUGCCAUCAGAUGUGCCCAGAUGGGAUUAGCUAGUAGGUGGGGUAACGGCUCACCUAGGCGACGAUCCCUAGCUGGUCUGAGAGGAUGACCAGCCACACUGGAACUGAGACACGGUCCAGACUCCUACGGGAGGCAGCAGUGGGGAAUAUUGCACAAUGGGCGCAAGCCUGAUGCAGCCAUGCCGCGUGUGUGAAGAAGGCCUUCGGGUUGUAAAGCACUUUCAGCGGGGAGGAAGGCGUUAAGGUUAAUAACCUCAUCGAUUGACGUUACCCGCAGAAGAAGCACCGGCUAACUCCGUGCCAGCCGCCGCGGUAA